GUGGGGAAUCUUCCGCAAUGGACGAAAGUCUGACGGAGCAACGCCGCGUGAGUGAAGAAGGUUUUCGGAUCGUAAAGCUCUUUCGUUAGGGACGAACGUGCUCUUUGUGAAUAAUGAGGAGUAAUGACGGUACCUAAAUAAGAAGCCACGGCUAACUACGUGCCAGCAGCCGCGGUAAUACGUAGGUGGCAAGCGUUGUCCGGAAUUAUUGGGCGUAAAGCGCGCGCAGGCGGGAUAUCAAGUCUGUCUUAAAAGUGCGAGGCUCAAGCUAGGGAGGGGACAGAAACUGGUAUUCUUGAGUGUCGGAGAGGAAAGUGGAAUUCCAAGUGUAGCGGUGAAAUGCGUAGAGAUUUGGAAGAACACCAGUGGCGAAGGCGACUUUCUGGACGAUGUCUGACGCUGAGGCGCGAAAGCUAGGGGAGCGAACGGGAUUAGAAACCCCUGUAGUCC
Molecule: ribosomal RNA, 450 nt
Filed under: uncultured bacterium
Lineage: Bacteria
Description: partial 16S ribosomal RNA
Rfam family: Bacterial small subunit ribosomal RNA
Source: RNAcentral